Molecule: transfer RNA, 87 nt
Filed under: Nadsonia fulvescens var. elongata DSM 6958
Lineage: Eukaryota; Fungi; Ascomycota; Dipodascomycetes; Dipodascales
Rfam family: tRNA
About the family: Transfer RNA (tRNA) molecules are approximately 80 nucleotides in length. Their secondary structure includes four short double-helical elements and three loops (D, anti-codon, and T loops). Further hydrogen bonds mediate the characteristic L-shaped molecular structure. tRNAs have two regions of fundamental functional importance: the anti-codon, which is responsible for specific mRNA codon recognition, and the 3' end, to which the tRNAs corresponding amino acid is attached (by aminoacyl-tRNA synthetases). tRNAs cope with the degeneracy of the genetic code in two manners: having more than one tRNA (with a specific anti-codon) for a particular amino acid; and 'wobble' base-pairing, i.e. permitting non-standard base-pairing at the 3rd anti-codon position.
Source: Rfam by way of RNAcentral
GGCCCGAUGGUUUAGUGGUAUAAUUCUCGCUUAGGGUUUGAUAAUCUUAUCUGCGAGAGGUCCCGGGUUCAAUUCCCGGUUGGGCCC